UACAGAGGGGGCAAACGUUGUUCGGAAUUACUGGGCGUAAAGGGCGCGUAGGCGGCCUGUUAAGUCGAACGUGAAAUCCCCGGGCUCAACCCGGGAACUGCGUCCGAUACUGGCAGGCUUGAAUCCGGGAGAGGGAUGCGGAAUUCCAGGUGUAGCGGUGAAAUGCGUAGAUAUCUGGAGGAACACCGGUGGCGAAGGCGGCAUCCUGGACCGGCAUUGACGCUGAGGCGCGAAAGCCAGGGGAGCGAACAGG
RNAcentral lists this ribosomal RNA (253 nucleotides) under uncultured bacterium. RNAcentral describes it as "partial 16S ribosomal RNA". It matches the Rfam family "Bacterial small subunit ribosomal RNA", at positions 524 to 776 of the family's 1533-position model. The record is from RNAcentral.